Molecule: ribosomal RNA, 1863 nt
Filed under: Candidatus Omnitrophica bacterium 4484_171
Lineage: Bacteria; Pseudomonadati; Candidatus Omnitrophota
Description: bacterial LSU rRNA
Rfam family: Bacterial large subunit ribosomal RNA (bases 997-1516)
Source: RNAcentral
ACUUUCCUAUCAAGUUAAAGGAAAGGGCAAAGAGAGAAAAAGGCCUUUAAAAAAAGUAAUUGAUGGAAUCCUCAGAGACUGAACGCCGGAUUCCGGCAUUACGUCGGAAAAGUUACAGUCCGAUCUUUGCGGCGACGCAAAGUUAACAUGAAUGCCUAAGGUAGCGAAAUUCCUAGUCGGGUAAGCAAGUCGGACUUGCCCGUAAGCCGGCUCAUAACGGUGAAGGGAUUCUUUUAUGCUCUUCUACUAGGAUAGAGCUAAACGAAGGAUUUUAAUACCGUGGGAAGUGAGGCGCAAGCCGAACCCCGUAACGACUUUCCCGGCGUAACGUCGGGAGGGCUCUCUUGACUGUCCUUAAAAAGGGCAAAUUUAAGAAGAGGGCAAGACGCCGGCCAUCAGUUCCUGGAAAGGAGGUAAAUAUGCUUCAUCCCGAGUAUAUUACAGGAUUUUGUGACGGAGAAGCAAGUUUCAGUGUUACAUUAUCUCCCAGGAAGAAAUUAUGGGAAGUAAGGCCGAGUUUUUCAGUUUCUCAGAAUAAAACAUCAAAAGGUGUUUUAUUCCAGGUUAAGGAUUUUUUUGGAUGCGGAUAUAUAAGGCCAUCGCUUAAAGACAAUACUUACAAAUAUGAAGUGCGCAGCUUAAAAGAUUUAACGUUAAAAAUUGUCCCGCAUUUUGAAAAAUAUCCUCUUAAGACUGAGAAACGAAAGAACUUUGAGGGUUUAAGAGACAUCGUAAACAUAAUGCAUAGAAGUGAGCACCUUAACCCCAAGGGAUUAAAAGAAAUAUUUCGGCUUAUGGAAAAGAUUAACCCCGGCAGUAAGAAAAUUUAUGACAGAAAAAGGCUGCGGGAACUGAUGAAUGUAUAGUCUAAGUAGAUCCUUCGAUUUUACUCAGGAUCGAUUCUGGGUAAUAUUGAAUGGAAUCGAAGUUCCGACCCGCACGAAUGGUUCAACAAUGGGAGCGCUGUCUCGGCAAGGUCCCCGGUGAAAUUGUAGUGGCGGUAAAGAUGCCGUCUACCCGCAGUAGGACGAAAAGACCCCGGAACCUUUACUGUAGGCUGGUAUUGAAUUUUGGUCCGGUAUGUGUAGGAUAGGUGGGAGGCUUUGAAGCGCAGGCGUCAGCUUGCGCAGAGCCGCCGGUGAAAUACCACCCUUAUUGUACUAAGAUUCUAACCCUAUUUUUAGGAGACAGUGCCAGUUGGGCAGUUUAACUGGGGCGGUUUCCUCCUAAAAGGUAACGGAGGAGCCCAAAGGUACCCUCAGUACGAUUGGAAACCGUACGUCGAGUGUAAAGGCAAAUGGGUGCUUGACUGUGAAGCCGACAGGCCGAGCAGAGCGGAAACGCGGGCUUAGUGAUCCGGUGGUUGCGCGUGGGAGCGCCAUCGCUCAACGGAUAAAAGGUACUCCGGGGAUAACAGGCUUAUCGGGCCCGAGAGUUCACAUCGACGGCCCGGUUUGUUAAAGCGGUACGUGAGCUGGGUUCAGAACGUCGUGAGACAGUAAGUGACCGUUGCUGUCUAUAAAUCUGGCUAUAUGCUGGAAAGUCCGGUGUAUCAUUCACUACUUGACAAGAGAAUACAUAGAGAUAUAUUAUCUCUAUGUCAAGUAAAAAUGUGAAAUGUGCGGAUAAUCAGCAGGCAAGGAAAGCAGAUGUUCCUGAUGAGUAUUUAGCGGGAUUUGUUGAUGGAGAGGGUUGUUUCUAUGUAGGGUUUAGUCAACGUCAGGAUUUGCCAUUAAAGUGGCAAAUAAUUACAGAAUUUCAUCUCAGUCAAAAUCCAAGCGGCAAGAAUAUUUUACAGGCUUUUCAAAAAAGAUUAGGUUGUGGAUAUAUUAAGCCUAAUCAUCUCAAGAAUAAAAGAGAUAA